RNAcentral lists this ribosomal RNA (253 nucleotides) under uncultured bacterium. RNAcentral's name for it is "partial 16S ribosomal RNA". It matches the Rfam family "Bacterial small subunit ribosomal RNA", at positions 524 to 776 of the family's 1533-position model. The record is from RNAcentral.
UACAGAGGGUGCGAGCGUUAAUCGGAAUUACUGGGCGUAAAGCGCGCGUAGGCGGCUUUGCAAGUCGGGUGUGAAAUCCCCAGGCUUAACCUGGGAACUGCAUUCGAGACUGCAUUGCUAGAGUAUGGGAGAGGGAAGUGGAAUUUCCGGUGUAGCGGUGAAAUGCGUAGAUAUCGGAAGGAACACCUAUGGCGAAAGCAGGUUUCUGGGCCAUCUUUGACGCUGAGCUGCGAAAGCUAGGGGAGCAAACAGG